Molecule: ribosomal RNA, 532 nt
Filed under: Morchella purpurascens
Lineage: Eukaryota; Fungi; Ascomycota; Pezizomycetes; Pezizales; Morchellaceae
Description: partial 28S ribosomal RNA
Rfam family: Eukaryotic large subunit ribosomal RNA
Source: RNAcentral
ACGGCGAGUGAAGCGGCAAAAGCUCAAAUUUUAAAGCUGACAUCUUCGGUGUCCGCGUUGUAAUUUUGUGAGGCAUCUCCGGGUAGGGCGCUGGCCUAAGUUCCUUGGAACAGGACGUCACAGAGGGUGAGAAUCCCGUGCUUGGCUGGCUGUCCCCGUCCAUGUGAGGUGUCUUCGACGAGUCGAGUUGUUUGGGAAUGCAGCUCAAAAUGGGUGGUAAAUUUCAUCUAAAGCUAAAUAUUGGUGGGAGACCGAUAGCGCACAAGUAGAGUGAUCGAAAGAUGAAAAGCACUUUGAAAAUAGAGUUAAAAAGUACGUGAAAUUGUUGAAAGGGAAGCGCUUGAGACCAGACUUCGGUAAGGGGUGAUCAGCCGUCCUUUUGGGCGGUGCACUUGCCCCCCUCCGGGCCAGCAUCGGUUGAGGCGGCGGGAUAAAGGUCCCGGGAAUGUGGCUCCUUCACGGGAGUGUUAUAGCCCGGGUGAAUGCCGCCAGCUUCGACCGAGGACCGCACCCGCAAGGGUUAGGAUGCUUG